AAAAAAAAAUUUUUAUAGUUUAAAAAUUUAUUAUAAAUUUAUUUUACAUACAAAUUUUUGUAUAAAAUUUUAAUUAUUUAAAUAAUAAUUAAAUUAAAUAAAGUAGUAAUUAAUAUUAAAAAUUUAAGAAAUUAAGAUUUAGUAAUAUGAAAAUUAAAAACAAAAUUCGUGCCAGCAGUUGCGGUUAAACAAAUUUUAAAAUAAAUUUUUUUAGUUAAUAAUAAAUAUUUUAAUUUUUGAAUUAAAUAUUAAAUUAUUAGGUGAAAUUUUAAUUUAAUUAAAAUUUAUAAAAAAUUAUGAAUUAAUAAAUUUUAUUAUAAACUAGGAUUAGAUACCCUAUUAUUAAAAAAUUAAUUUUAAAAACUAAAAUAGUAGGUAAUUUUUUAUUGAAACUUAAAUAAUUUGGCGGUAUUUUAGUUCAUUUAGAGGAAUCUGUUUAAUAAUUGAUAUUCCACGAAUAAAUUUACUUAAUUUGAAAUUUUGUAUAUCGUUGUUAUAAAAAUAUUUUAAAAGAAAAAUAAUAUUUUAAAAUUUAAAAUAAAAUUUAAAUCAGAUCAAGAUGCAGAUUAUAAUUAAGAAUAUAAUGGAUUACAAUAAAUUUAUUUAAAUGAAUAUUUAAUUGUAAAAUUAAAUUGAAGGUGGAUUUAAAUGUAAUUUUAUUUAAUUUAUUAAAAUGAUUAAAAAUUAAAAUAUGUACAUAUUGCCCGUCGCUUUCAUUAAUAAAUUGGAAUAAGUCGUAACAAAGUAGAGGUACUGGAAAGUGUUUCUAGAAAGA
This is a non-coding RNA of Galleria mellonella (greater wax moth), 775 nucleotides long. Lineage: Eukaryota; Metazoa; Arthropoda; Insecta; Lepidoptera; Pyralidae. The record is from the annotation of a RefSeq genome assembly.